This 899-nucleotide long non-coding RNA is filed under the name Capra hircus (goat). Its description in RNAcentral is "lncRNA (ENSCHIG00000007348.1)". The record is from RNAcentral. Lineage: Eukaryota; Metazoa; Chordata; Mammalia; Artiodactyla; Bovidae.
CGGCACCACAGUGGGUCCCUCCCCCAAGCAAACAACUGUCAUUGAGUGACUGUUAGUAGUUGUGCUCAGCCAUUGGUUGGCUAUGCUGUGGGCUCCUCCCCCAAGUGAGCAACUGUCACUGAGCAACAGUUAGUGGCUGAUUCAGCAAAUGGUCAUCAGAAUGGUGGUUGUCAGGUGGAGAGUGAGCUCUGGACCAAUAAAACAGAAAGAAGACCACCUUAUGGAACUGUGAGAAGAUACUCAACUGUACCCACUCUUGCCCAUUUUACCAUAUGAUUCUGUCUAUGGUCGAUAUUACCUAUAACUAUUUGAGUCUGUAUUGAUUCAUUCAUCAAACAACUUGUGAGUAUCUACUGUGUGUGGAUGGCAUUGUGCCAGGUGCUGAGGAUUAGGACAAGAUGAAGAGGUCAGUUCCUAUCUUCAGAGACAUUGUGUCUAGGACAUGAUGGCUGUAGGGAUUGUGUAAAUUUCUCAUUCACUUUACAUAUAUUCAUUGAGCACUGUUAUCUGCAGGCACUCAACCAUACUACAGUGAAUAAGAAGCAGUAGAGUACUGUAUAAAAGCCAGACAACCUGGAAUGAGAUUACACUUUGGGGCUACAUGGAAGCUCUUAAACCACCUUAUGCCCCAGUUUCCUCAGAUGUAAACAGAAGUAAUGCAAAAUUUAUUGAGUUAUAGAAUUAUUAGGAAGAUCCUAUGAGUUAGUAUGUAUAAAUCACCAUGUAACAUUUAGCUCUUACUAUUGUUUCUCACAUUUUUUUCCCUUCAUGCUUUAGUCCCUCUUCAAAUCUAUAUUCUUUCUCAUUACUCCCUUUCUCUUAGACCAAGCAGUCCUGUUAAUGAAUCAUGAAUUUGAAUAUUGCUAUUUAUCAGUACCCUGUUAAAAAUAUUGCCUGUU